RNAcentral lists this long non-coding RNA (1875 nucleotides) under Homo sapiens (human). RNAcentral's name for it is "HSALNT0099503". The record is from RNAcentral. Lineage: Eukaryota; Metazoa; Chordata; Mammalia; Primates; Hominidae.
AGAAUGCUACUACUAAUAGCAGUGUUCUAGAUUUUCAUCCACCAUCAUGGAUAAAGCUCUCCGUCAUGUGGAUGGAAUCACUGCGGUAGGAGGAUUCCUGAGGCAUUACCUGGAUAGUCUCAUCUGGCUGGACAUGCAGGAGAACUGGGAGACUGCCGAGACUGCCACGUGGGUUUUGGAGGCUGAGAAGUCCAAGACUGAGGGGCUGGCAUCUGACGAGGGCCUUCUUGCUGCUUCAUUCCACGGCAAAAUGGCAAAGAGAAGAUGAGAAGAAAGGCUCAAAGGGACGGUGGGACUUGACUGAGGACCCAGCACCUCCUGGACCUGAAUCAAGGCCCUCUGUCCCGCUGCUUUUGUUGUUGUUUACCCUGCAACUUCACAGCCCUUCAGAAGGCCCUGGACAUCAUGUGCAAGCUCCGUGGAUGGCCUGAGAUUCAUCCUUCCAAGUUGUUUUCUGACUGAGAGGCAACAUUUUAAAUUGUGAUCCCCCCUUACCCCACCACACACACUGAAACAAAAGUUUCAAGAAGUCAUUACCACACAAUGACUCAGAUAUGUUCUAGUCUAGUCUGUCUAUUCCAUUCCAUUCCAGUCUCUUUCCAAACGAAAAUAAAAGGAAGGAAAUGCUGCAUGCGACUUGGUAAGUUAAUUUCAGGACACCUUGGGACUGCUUCCUGCUGCAUGAGGCAUCAGCACACAGCAGGGGAUAUUUUGCAUUCCUGUGUGCACCGUGGGUUAGACAGGCUGCUUGGCCCUAAGUGGAGAAUGGAACUCCAGUAGAAAGGCUGAGAUGCACUGCAAGUAACCACUGCAGAAAGGAGAGGAUGCCCACAGGCAGGCUGAAGUGGACCCGUGUGGAAGGAACACUUCAAGACCACUGGCCAAGAGACUUCCUUCAUUUUUAUCCCUUCCUGUUUUUCGCCUGUGCUGAGGAUUCACCACCAGUGUGGGGAGCCUCUGACUGUAAAAGGAAAGCUGACUCUGGCUCCUUCGUGUUUUCUGUUAAGUUGGGGCCUAAGUUUUUCUGCCAGCCUUUGCGGAGGAAAUGCAGCUUCCCUGGCACACUGCCCGGUCAAGGGACGUUGAAUCCAUUGCAAUCAGCAGUUGAAGAUCCACACUACAGGCCAUGUUCUUAAAAUAAGUGGCUCCAGGACUUCCAAGAGGCAGAAGGGGCUUCAGCUGGCCAUGGGCAGGAUCCAAGUGGAGCUUCAUCCCUGCAGAGCAAUGCCUGGCUCUCAGCGGAGGCAGUCUGGAGCAGGGCUUCUACCCUUUUCAGCUCAUAGAUUACUUUGGAAUCUGAUGAACACUGGGAGCCUUCUCCUUAGAAGAACAUACAUAUGCACGAGAAUGAGACAAUUACAUAACAUUCCUUGGGUUUCACAGAUGCUGAAGCCAAUGACUUGCUUGAAGCCUGGAAGAGGGUGUUGACCUGGAGAAUCCUAAAGGCCAAAAUUUAGAGAAAAUGGUGCCAGUAAAUGAAUUCACAAGGAGAAAUGCUUCCUUGCCAACUCACUUCUCCAGAUUAUUGAGUGCAUCUAUCUGUUUGCUUUUGGCUUCACGCAAUUGGCCCUCUUCAGUUCCGUACUCUUUCCUAAAUACCUUGCAAGUUUUCCUCUUCUCUCAUGCCAUUUAUAAUAUGCUGACGCCUGAUUAGAGGAAGGAAGGACUCAGCUGCACUUGCACUGGGGGAAGGGCCACUUACAGGAAGCCUACCUGGGGCUGAGCUGGGUCUCACUGCCUCCUAGACCUAAGGGCCCCAGCUUUUCCCUCAUCUCUUGUUGCAGCCACCACUUGUUCUAGAUCUGCAUCCAUAUCUGUAAAAUGGGGGUGAUAAUACCUUCCCAUAAAGUCACUGUGAGGAUUAAAUGUCCGGCA